UACGUAGGGUGCGAGCGUUAAUCGGAAUUACUGAGCGUAAAGCGUGCGCAGGCGGUUCGUUGUGUCGGCGGUGAAAGCCCCGGGCUUAACCUGGGAAUGGCCGUUGAAACUGGCGAACUGGAGUGUGGCAGAGGGGGGUGGAAUUCCGCGUGUAGCAGUGAAAUGCGUAGAGAUGCGGAGGAACACCGAUGGCGAAGGCAGCCCCCUGGGCUAACACUGACGCUCAGGCACGAAAGCGUGGGGAGCAAACAGG
This 253-nucleotide ribosomal RNA is filed under the name uncultured bacterium. RNAcentral describes it as "partial 16S ribosomal RNA". It matches the Rfam family "Bacterial small subunit ribosomal RNA", at positions 524 to 776 of the family's 1533-position model. The record is from RNAcentral.